UUGAUCCUGGCUCAGAUUGAACGCUGGCGGCAUGCCUUACACAUGCAAGUCGAACGGCAGCACGGGAGCUUGCUCCUGGUGGCGAGUGGCGAACGGGUGAGUAAUACAUCGGAACGUACCCAGGAGUGGGGGAUAACGUAGCGAAAGUUACGCUAAUACCGCAUAUUCUGUGAGCAGGAAAGCGGGGGAUCGCAAGACCUCGCGCUCUUGGAGCGGCCGAUGUCGGAUUAGCUAGUUGGUGAGGUAAAGGCUCACCAAGGCGACGAUCCGUAGCAGGUCUGAGAGGAUGAUCUGCCACACUGGGACUGAGACACGGCCCAGACUCCUACGGGAGGCAGCAGUGGGGAAUUUUGGACAAUGGGGGCAACCCUGAUCCAGCCAUGCCGCGUGAGUGAAGAAGGCCUUCGGGUUGUAAAGCUCUUUCGGCGGGGAAGAAAUGGCAACGGCUAAUAUCCGUUGUUGAUGACGGUACCCGCAUAAGAAGCACCGGCUAACUACGUGCCAGCAGCCGCGGUAAUACGUAGGGUGCGAGCGUUAAUCGGAAUUACUGGGCGUAAAGCGUGCGCAGGCGGUUUCGUAAGACAGACGUGAAAUNCCCCGGGCUCA
RNAcentral lists this ribosomal RNA (606 nucleotides) under uncultured bacterium. RNAcentral's name for it is "bacterial SSU rRNA". It matches the Rfam family "Bacterial small subunit ribosomal RNA", at positions 13 to 611 of the family's 1533-position model. The record is from RNAcentral.